RNAcentral lists this ribosomal RNA (317 nucleotides) under Syllidae environmental sample. Its description in RNAcentral is "partial 16S ribosomal RNA". It matches the Rfam family "Archaeal large subunit ribosomal RNA", at positions 2038 to 2590 of the family's 2987-position model. The record is from RNAcentral. Lineage: Eukaryota; Metazoa; Annelida; Polychaeta; Phyllodocida; Syllidae.
AUAAUAAUUAGCCCCCUAAUUAGGGGAUAGAAUGAAUGAAUCAACAAGAAAACCACUGUCUCUUACACGCAAAAAAAAAUUUAUAAUUAGGUGAAAACGCCUAAAUCUAAUACAAAGACAAGAAGACCCUAAAAGCUUUUAAGUAACUCGCACAAUAAUCAUUUUAUCUUUUUUGUUGGGGCGACCAAUAGUUAUAAACACUUCACACCUAUAAGAUUUUAUUUAUCUCUACCACUUAGCUAAACACAUAUAAGUAAGUUACUUUAGGGAUAACAGGCUAAUUCUUUCCAAGAGUACAUAUCAACGAAAGAGCUUGG